CUCUGGGCACCGCCCAACCUGUCAGGCCGCUGCAGGCUGAGAGAGCUGGUAGCCAGGUGGUACCAGGACGCUAGCCCGUGACAAGCCGUCACCAGCCACAGGAGAGGAACACGGCUGUGUGGUCUGGCUUCUCAGUGCGGCUGGGGAUAGUGCUCCCCACGACCACCACCGUCUGCUUCACGGCCACCUGGACACCCUCCGACGCGUCGCUGGGCCCGGCAGCUGAGCAGGUACUUUCACGCCUUGUCUGCUCCGGGGCCACCGUCUGCGGAAGCGUGCUGAGCUCCGGGCAGCAAUGGCCCCACCGCGUGCACUGCGCUGCCCCCUGUGCCGUAUCAACUGCCCCUGCCCAGGAGCCUCCUCCAGAUGUGACCCAGGGCGGCCCAGGCGGUCCUGCAUAGGCUUGUUCUCACUAUCACCGAGGGAGAAGAAGCAGGCAGUCAUUACGAACCCAUACUGUCAUUCGAAAACUCAAGCCUUGCAACAACCCCCCGACCAGGGUCAUUGGGAAAGACCCCGCCCAAUGCUGGGAAAGAUUGCAGGCGGGAGGAGACGGGGACGACAGAGGACGAGAUGGUUGGAUGGCAUCACCGACUCGAUGGACAUGAGUUCGAACAAGCUCCGGGAGUUGGUGAUGGACAGGGAGGCCUGGCGUGCUGCAGUCCAUGGGGUGGCAAAGAGUCCGACAGGACUGAACGAGUUUCACCUUUCACUUUCACUUAGGACCCUCAACCCGAGCAGGGCGGGCCCCGCCCCAACGUCGAUGCGUAUGCUCCCCAGGCCACCCCAGCCACGCCCCUGCCCGGCGCUUAGGCCAGCGCCCCGCCCCCUAGGAGAACCGGAAGCAGAAUCCUCGCGGGUCAAAGCUGUCGG
This is a long non-coding RNA of Bos taurus (domestic cattle), 873 nucleotides long. NCBI's taxonomy places the organism in Eukaryota, Metazoa, Chordata, Mammalia, Artiodactyla, Bovidae. The record is from Ensembl.